This 288-nucleotide ribosomal RNA is filed under the name uncultured bacterium. RNAcentral describes it as "partial 16S ribosomal RNA". It matches the Rfam family "Bacterial small subunit ribosomal RNA", at positions 773 to 1060 of the family's 1533-position model. The record is from RNAcentral.
GUGGAUUAGAUACCCUGGUAGUCCACGCCGUAAACGAUGGGCACUAGGUGUGGGGGGUGUCGACUCCCUCCGUGCCGAAGCUAACGCAUUAAGUGCCCCGCCUGGGGAGUACGGCCGCAAGGCUAAAACUCAAAGGAAUUGACGGGGGCCCGCACAAGCAGCGGAGCAUGUGGUUUAAUUCGACGCAACGCGAAGAACCUUACCUGGGCUUGACAUGUGGAUGACCGGCCUGGAAACAGGUCUUCCCUUCGGGGCAUCUUCACAGGUGGUGCACGGCCGUCGUCAGCU